ACGAACGCUGGCGGCGUGCCUAAUACAUGCAAGUCGAGCGGAAUGAUGAAGAAGCUUGCUUCUUCUGAUUUUAGCGGCGACGGGUGAGUAACACGUGGGCAACCUACCUUGUAGAUUGGGAUAACUCCGGGAAACCGGGGCUAAUACCGAAUAAUCCAUUUUGCUUCAUGGCGAGAUGUUGAAAGACGGUUUCGGCUGUCACUACAAGAUGGGCCCGCGGCGCAUUAGCUAGUUGGUGAGGUAAUGGCUCACCAAGGCGACGAUGCGUAGCCGACCUGAGAGGGUGAUCGGCCACACUGGGACUGAGACACGGCCCAGACUCCUACGGGAGGCAGCAGUAGGGAAUCUUCCACAAUGGACGAAAGUCUGAUGGAGCAACGCCGCGUGAGUGAAGAAGGUUUUCGGAUCGUAAAACUCUGUUGUAAGGGAAGAACACGUACGAGAGUAACUGCUCGUACCUUGACGGUACCUUAUUAGAAAGCCACGGCUAACUACGUG
RNAcentral lists this ribosomal RNA (498 nucleotides) under uncultured bacterium. RNAcentral's name for it is "bacterial SSU rRNA". It matches the Rfam family "Bacterial small subunit ribosomal RNA", at positions 29 to 507 of the family's 1533-position model. The record is from RNAcentral.